This 346-nucleotide ribosomal RNA is filed under the name uncultured eukaryote. RNAcentral describes it as "SSU rRNA". It matches the Rfam family "Eukaryotic small subunit ribosomal RNA", at positions 594 to 945 of the family's 1831-position model. The record is from RNAcentral.
AUAGCGUAUAUUAAAGUUGUUGCAGUUAAAAAGCUCGUAGUUGAAUUUUAGGCCCGGUUGGACGGUCUGCUCUAGGGCUUGUACUGUCCUGACUGGGUCUUCCCUUCUGGAGAGCUGUCGUGUCGUUUACUCGGUGCGGCAGGGAUCCAGGACUUUUACUUUGAAAAAAUUAGAGUGUUUAAAGCAGCCAUUCGCUUGAAUACAUUAGCAUGGAAUAAUAAAAUAGGACUUUGGUUCUAUUUUGUUGGUUUCUAGGACCGAAGUAAUGAUUAAUAGGGAUAGUUGGGGGCAUUAGUAUUUAAUUGUCAGAGGUGAAAUUCCUGGAUUUAUGAAAGACUAACUUCUG